AAAACGGCCCUUUUCAGGGCCACCAAUUAUAUCUCAUAACAUUGAAU
Molecule: regulatory RNA element, 47 nt
Organism: Acromyrmex echinatior (Panamanian leafcutter ant)
Lineage: Eukaryota; Metazoa; Arthropoda; Insecta; Hymenoptera; Formicidae
Rfam family: Histone 3' UTR stem-loop
About the family: The mRNAs of metazoan histone genes lack a poly-A tail. 3' end processing occurs at a site between a highly conserved stem-loop (modelled by this family) and a purine rich region around 20 nts downstream (the histone downstream element, or HDE).
Source: Rfam